GAUGAACGCUGGCGGCGUGCCUAACACAUGCAAGUCGAACGAAGCACUUUAAAUAGAUUUCUUCGGAAUGAAGUUUUUUGUGACUUAGUGGCGGACGGGUGAGUAACGCGUGGGUAACCUGCCCAGUACUGGGGGACAACAGUUGGAAACGACUGCUAAUACCGCCUAAGCCUACGGUGUCGCAUGACCCAGUAGGAAAAAUUCCGGUGGUACUGGAUGGGCAUGCGUCUGAUUAGCUAGUUGGUAAGGUAAUGGCUUUCCAAGGCGACGAUCAGUAGCCGGCUUGAUAGAGUGAACGGCCACAUUGGGACUGAAACACGGCCCAAACUCCUACGCGAGGCAGCGGUGGGGAAUAUUGCACAAUGGGGGAAACCCUGGUGCAGCAACGCCGCGUGAGUGAAGAAGUAUUUCGGUAUGUAAAGCUCUAUCAGCAGGGAAGAUAAUGACGGUACCUGACUAAGAAGCACCGGCUAAAUACGUGCCAGCGGCCGCGGUAA
This 497-nucleotide ribosomal RNA is filed under the name uncultured bacterium. RNAcentral's name for it is "partial 16S ribosomal RNA". It matches the Rfam family "Bacterial small subunit ribosomal RNA", at positions 28 to 523 of the family's 1533-position model. The record is from RNAcentral.